This is a long non-coding RNA of Chroicocephalus ridibundus (black-headed gull), 845 nucleotides long. RefSeq lists it as uncharacterized. Lineage: Eukaryota; Metazoa; Chordata; Aves; Charadriiformes; Laridae. The transcript is spliced from 5 exons. The record is from RefSeq and is a predicted model, not a curated record.
AGCAGAAGAGGUUUUGGGUUCCUCACCGAGAAGCCUCAGCCAGCCUGACUUGCCCAGAGCCUCCAGCAGACAGGGGAGAUCCUGAUCCAGGGUGGGCCACAGCCAGGAACUCCUGGAAGGGAUCCCUGGCCCACCCAGGUCAACACAACAGCAACCCCAGGAGCUGCUGCUCUGGGAUGGAAAGGCAGCAAGCCCCACAACACCUGGACAUGAUGGAAAGGACACUGGACUGAGCUCACCUGCCUGUGCAGUCUGUUACUGGGUGGGUGUAUCCAGUGUCUUGCCAGAAGCCUGGAGGCAAAGGAUCUGCUCUGACAUCCCAGACGCCAUCAUGCUUUGAGGAAGGAAAGGUACAGGUGGACAAACCCCUACAGCGAGGCUGUGCGGUGACUCGUAUCCAGGGGUCGUUUUCUCCUGACACCGGGGAUCCGAAGGCAGAAUCAGCUCUGCAGCAGCAGGUCUUAAGCCCAGGUGGGAGGACUUUGCCACCCACUGCAAAACAGUUCUCUCCGGAAUGGGACAGAAAACUAUCCACGUGUAUGCAACAGCACUGCAGAAAGUCUUGGGAUGAGCAAAGAAAAGAACAAACAGCCCAGAGGAAGGUGUGCUCGCUGUGAUGAAGAAUAUUUGGAUUACAAGAGAGGUCAGAUGAGUGCAAACCCUAUUGAAGCUGUAUGAGCAUUCAGUCUUGCUCGGUGCUGCAGGAGGAAUUGCGCUAAAACAUGAAAGUACUGUAAAAGUUCUUCUGCUACAAGAAAAAUCUGUGUUGCUGCAGAGGCAGUAGAUUGCAUAGGAAAAAGCACAAACACUCGAUCAAAACUAGUUCUGUGGUGUCUUUUAUGGGA